RNAcentral lists this ribosomal RNA (405 nucleotides) under uncultured bacterium. RNAcentral describes it as "bacterial SSU rRNA". It matches the Rfam family "Bacterial small subunit ribosomal RNA", at positions 355 to 776 of the family's 1533-position model. The record is from RNAcentral.
UUAGGAAUUUUGGGCAAUGGGGGAAACCCUGACCCAGCAACGCCGCGUGGGUGACGAAGGCCUUCGGGUUGUAAAGCCCUUUUCCAGGGGAAGAUAGUGACGGUACCCUGGGAAUAAGCCCCGGCUAACUACGUGCCAGCAGCCGCGGUAAUACGUAGGGGGCAAGCGUUGUCCGGAUUUAUUGGGCGUAAAGCGCUCGCAGGCGGCCUGGCCAAGUCGUGCGUGAAAUCUCCCGGCUCAACUGGGAGCGGUCGUGCGAUACUGGUCGGCUCGAGGCCGGUAGGGGGGAGUGGAAUUCCGGGUGUAGUGGUGGAAUGCGUAGAUAUCCGGAGGAACACCAGUGGCGAAGGCGGCUCCCUGGACCGGUCCUGACGCUCAGGAGCGAAAGCGUGGGUAGCGAUCCGG